This 82-nucleotide transfer RNA is filed under the name Nematostella vectensis (starlet sea anemone). It matches the Rfam family "tRNA". Rfam says of the family: Transfer RNA (tRNA) molecules are approximately 80 nucleotides in length. Their secondary structure includes four short double-helical elements and three loops (D, anti-codon, and T loops). The record is from Rfam by way of RNAcentral. Lineage: Eukaryota; Metazoa; Cnidaria; Anthozoa; Actiniaria; Edwardsiidae.
GUUGCGGUGGCCGAGUGGUUAAGGCGUUGGACUCGAAAUGCAAUGGGAUCUUCCCGCGCAGGUUCGAAACCUGACCACAACA